CCCUAUUUAGGGAUUAAAUAUUAAAAUUAUUAAAAUCCUACUUUAUUUUUCAUUAAAAUUGGUUAAAAAUAAAAUUUAUGGUUGAGUAUAUAUAUAUAUUCCUCUACGUUUCCAUUUUCUAUAUUUUUUAAAAAUGUCAUUUCCCUGUGUUCGUUUCCGCAUUUUCCCAUGUCGGCGUUUCCUUUUGUGUGCUACAUAGUUGAAAUGUUGCAAAUAGAGAAGGAUUUGACCACCUAAUGGCUCUAUAAAUACAUCAGAGUUGCCAACAAAGCAAAUGUACAAUUCAAAUCAAAGGAUGACCAAGUGGCAACAAAUGAUACUAGGUGUUUCUUUGGAGGACAUGGUAACUGAGCAAUUCAGACAUGUGAAAUAAACUAAAUUAAAGAUCGACUUCAGUAACUGGCAAAUCAAGCAGCUAUCAGAAGUUUCAGACUGAGGAAUGAGCAAGCAUUGAUCACCACACCAGGUCCACAAAUAGGAAGCCAGUAAGAUAAUAAAGGUCACUACUCCAAAGCACUUCAUUUAGAAACAAACCAAACUAGAUAUUCUUGUGAGCUAGGAGUUAGUAGCAGUCUGUAGUUCCAAUCAUCCAGCAAGCAGUUUGCCUAUGGGUGAUCUAAAUGCAUGUCAUCAAGGUAAGGAAACUAAGUAAUUUUCAUCAAUUACUAGUUCCCUUGUAGUUUUAAUGAGUCCAGCAUAGUGAACUUCAAAGUCAUCUUAAAAGAGGUUCAUCAGGACGUUAAGGAAACAACUAUUCAUAUGGUCAUGAGUAGGUCUCAACAACACUUUGAACAACAGUAUUUUCAGAAAUCAGCCCAUAAGAUUCAACAGCAGUAGAAGGUAGCAAGAAAUU
This 853-nucleotide unclassified non-coding RNA is filed under the name Hevea brasiliensis (rubber tree). The record is from RNAcentral. Lineage: Eukaryota; Viridiplantae; Streptophyta; Magnoliopsida; Malpighiales; Euphorbiaceae.